GAUUCGUCACACUAUCAUUAACUGAAUCCAUAGGUUAAUGAGGCGAACCGGGGGAACUGAAACAUCUAAGUACCCCGAGGAAAAGAAAUCAACCGAGAUUCCCCCAGUAGCGGCGAGCGAACGGGGAGGAGCCCAGAGCCUGAAUCAGCAUGUGUGUUAGUGGAAGCGUCUGGAAAGGCGCGCGAUACAGGGUGACAGCCCCGUACACAAAAGCGCAUGUGCUGUGAGCUCGAUGAGUAGGGCGGGACACGUGGUAUCCUGUCUGAAUAUGGGGGGACCAUCCUCCAAGGCUAAAUACUCCUGACUGACCGAUAGUGAACCAGUACCGUGAGGGAAAGGCGAAAAGAACCCCGGCGAGGGGAGUGAAAAAGAACCUGAAACCGUGUACGUACAAGCAGUGGGAGCACCCUUCGGGGUGUGACUGCGUACCUUUUGUAUAAUGGGUCAGCGACUUAUAUUCUGUAGCAAGGUUAACCGUAUAGGGGAGCCGGAGGGAAACCGAGUCUUAAUUGGGCGUUAAGUUGCAGGGUAUAGACCCGAAACCCGGUGAUCUAGCCAUGGGCAGGUUGAAGGUUGGGUAACACUAACUGGAGGACCGAACCGACUAAUGUUGAAAAAUUAGCGGAUGACCUGUGGCUGGGGGUGAAAGGCCAAUCAAACCGGGAGAUAGCUGGUUCUCCCCGAAAGCUAUUUAGGUAGCGCCUCGUGAAUUCAUCUCCGGGGGUAGAGCACUGUUUCGGCUAGGGGGCCAUCCCGGCUUACCAACCCGAUGCAAACUGCGAAUACCGGAGAAUGUUAUCACGGGAGACACACGGCGGGUGCUAACGUCCGUCGUGAAGAGGGAAACAACCCAGACCGCCAGCUAAGGUCCCAAAGUCAUGGUUAAGUGGGAAACGAUGUGGGAAGGCCCAGACAGCCAGGAUGUUGGCUUAGAAGCAGCCAUCAUUUAAAGAAAGCGUAAUAGCUCACUGGUCGAGUCGGCCUGCGCGGAAGAUGUAACGGGGCUAAACCAUGCACCGAAGCUGCGGCAGCGAACGUAUCACCCAAGACAACUUUACGGAGUUGACGAUUGACGGAGCGAAGCGACGUCAAAGCGUUCAUUAAAGUCGAGUUGGCUUAGGGAUACGUUCGUUGGGUAGGGGAGCGUUCUGUAAGCCUGUGAAGGUGUGUCGUGAGGCAUGCUGGAGGUAUCAGAAGUGCGAAUGCUGACAUAAGUAACGAUAAAGCGGGUGAAAAGCCCGCUCGCCGGAAGACCAAGGGUUCCUGUCCAACGUUAAUCGGGGCAGGGUGAGUCGACCCCUAAGGCGAGGCCGAAAGGCGUAGUCGAUGGGAAACGGGUUAAUAUUCCCGUACUUGGUGUUACUGCGAAGGGGGGACGGAGAAGGCUAUGUUGGCCGGGCGACGGUUGUCCCGGUUUAAGCGUGUAGGUGUGUGUUCCAGGUAAAUCCGGUUCACUUUAACACUGAGGCGU
RNAcentral lists this ribosomal RNA (1471 nucleotides) under Salmonella enterica subsp. enterica serovar Typhimurium. Its description in RNAcentral is "partial 23S ribosomal RNA". It matches the Rfam family "Bacterial large subunit ribosomal RNA", at positions 137 to 1564 of the family's 2925-position model. Lineage: Bacteria; Pseudomonadati; Pseudomonadota; Gammaproteobacteria; Enterobacterales; Enterobacteriaceae. The record is from RNAcentral.